CAAACAAUGAAUGACUAUAUUAGAUCGUCGCUUGUAAACAAUGAUCUGUCACAUGGUUGUGUACACAGUUUGAAAAGUGUGUUUAAUUGAAAAGUUAUGUAUUAUUCAUAAUUAGAAAUUACUGCGUUGACAAUUAAUAAGUUCUAUUUAAAUUUAUUCAUAAGAUGCUUACAUAUUUAUUUGUAUACAUAUCAAUGAAACAAUUCAUUAUGGAAUUUUAUAUUCGAUUAGAAGAACAUAUUUCUAUUUCUCAUUUAAUUUAAGGAUAUGUAUAUAAAGUAUUAUGAAAUCUUAACAGCCUUAGAUCAUAAAAAUACAUCAGAUUUUUAGUGCUUGUGUGAUGGAGACUAUUAAUUAUUUUAUAUUGGUAUUUAUUGACACAUGUUAUUAUUAACCAGAAAAAGCUUUAGUUCAGUUGUCUUAUUAUGAAAAUAGAUUAUUCCAACAUGUUCAAUAUAUAUUUGUUGCUAAUAAAAAUUAAAAAUUGCCUAUCAAAGACUUAGCACGGUUUAACCUCAAUUAUUAUUUUUAAAUGAGACUGGGGUACAUCAGAACUAAUUAACAUUUGGAUAUGAAAUUUAUAAUAAUAAAUGAUUUAUUAAUUAUUAAUAAAGUAUCUAUGAAAAUCUAGAUUUUAAUAAGAUCAUUAAAAAAAAUUUUCAGCAGAAAUUAGUUGUUAUAAAGCAAUAAUUAAAAAUCUUUUGACUUAAAAGAAAAUUGAAGUAUAGAUAUAUUAAUUAGUAUUAAAAAAAAUUACUGUAUUUUUUUUCUAUUAAUUAUUUUAUUAGAAUAUAUAAUAUUUCUAAUUUAAAUGAAAAAGACAUAAAUUAAUUUUUAUUGAUGGGGUCUCAAACUAAUUUUUUGGUAGAAGUAAGUAUACAAAAUCACUACCUUUUCUUUUUAUUAAAAAAACUGAUCAAAUUUUAAUCUUAGGUCAGGGCCGUAUACAUGGUACAGUAAUAGGAUCUGAGUUACUAGUAUGUCAAUUAUUUUAAGAGAAGUGUUAAUUUUGAAAUUUCCUUAAUAAAAGAAAGAAAAUUAUUAAUUUCAAAUAUUCUAUCAAAAAUAUAAAAAUUGUAUUUUUGUAUUGUUUACAUAAUGGAUCCUAAUAAUCCAAUGAUAUUUUAAUUCUUGAUUACUGAAAAUUAAAUAAAUGGCUUAUAAAAAAAUGUAUUGUAUACAAAUGUUACAAUCAAAUUAACGUCAUAACAAUAGUGUAAAUUGGGAAAACUUUUAUUUUGGAUUUAUCAUUUACUAUCAAAUAAAUAUAAUUAUCAAUAUUUACAAAAAGGCAUAUGGUAAUUUUCUAGUAUCUCAAUUAAAUUUUAAAAAUACGGCUAUGUUUUGAAUUUACUUGCUGAAGGUUAAUGUCAGAAGUGGUGGUACUUCCAGUAUAAUGUAAUAACUUAAUCCGUUUCUUGAUUUAAAAAUCUUGAGGGCAUAGUUUUGUUGUUCACUAUACAGGACAGUAUUGUCAUCUUGUGGCGUUCCUAAGUGAUGAGAGUUCAUUGAAUGAUUAAUAAGUAAGGAGACAUGGAGGAAAUUAAAAUGAAAAUUUAUAUCAUUAUGUUCUAUAAUUAAUCUAUAUUGUUGAAAAGCUGGGCACUAGUUAAAAAUUUAAACUUAAGUUAACUUAUCUUACUAGUUUUAAUACUCAAUAACUUAUUCACUUAACUAAUGAACUGAAUGUGUAGAAUAAAUCGUUAAAAAUUAAAGCAACUAGUUGCAAUGUGUUAAUAACUAAUAUUGAGUAUUUUAUAUUCAUAAAAUUUUUGAUAUACCAAUUUUUUAUGAUGGUGUUAAUGGAGGAUUUAACUGUUUACUUAUAUAAUUAAUAUUUUUGCAACAUUUGAUUAUUUUAGAGCCGUGGAAAGGCCUCUCAUGCACGAGAUGAGUAUUAACAUAAUUAACAUAAUCACUCGACAGAAGAUAAUAUUGUAAAGUUAAUGUUUUAACCUUUUUGUUUCAUUAAUAUAAUAUUAAAAUUAAAAUGUCUAUCCUAAAUUUACCCGGCACUCUGUCUGUAACCAUUUUUUACUUGGUACUUGAUUAGUGAAUGUAUUUACUACACGGAACUUCUCUAGUAUUAAAUGUAUGAUCCAUACAUAUAUUUUUUCUUUAUUUUAAACAGUUAGGUCAGUACACAUUUUGCAAAUCACAUCUCUUUUACGCAAGAUUUUCAUCAAAAUAGAAAUAAGUGUUUCUGUUGAUGCUGAUUCAGCCAAUACUUAUAAUAAUUCUAAUAUAAAAGUUUUUAAAUUUAUAUUUUAAACUAUGAAAAAAAACUAACUUCUAA
Daktulosphaira vitifoliae (grape phylloxera) is the source of this 2296-nucleotide long non-coding RNA. RefSeq lists it as uncharacterized. The transcript is spliced from 3 exons. Lineage: Eukaryota; Metazoa; Arthropoda; Insecta; Hemiptera; Phylloxeridae. The record is from RefSeq and is a predicted model, not a curated record.